UACGUAGGGUGCAAGCAUUAAUCGGAUUUAUUGGGCGUAAAGGGCGCGUAGGCGGGGAAGUCAGUCAGAUGUGAAAUCCCGGAGCUCAACUCCGGAACAGCAUUUGAAACUUCUUCUCUAGAGGGUAGGCGGAGAAAACGGAAUUCCACAAGUAGCGGUGAAAUGCGUAGAUAUGUGGAAGAACACCAGUGGCGAAGGCGGUUUUCUAGCUUACACCUGACGCUGAGGCGCGAAAGCAAGGGGAGCAAACAGG
RNAcentral lists this ribosomal RNA (253 nucleotides) under uncultured bacterium. Its description in RNAcentral is "partial 16S ribosomal RNA". It matches the Rfam family "Bacterial small subunit ribosomal RNA", at positions 524 to 776 of the family's 1533-position model. The record is from RNAcentral.